UUUAAAUACAAUAGCAGGAAUGCUCCAUUUUACAGGGCUGAGGUCAGAGGAAGGGCUGUGGGGCCAAAAGACAAGGUAUAUAAGUAAGCCCUUCAUAAACUUCUCUAUUACCUUUCACAAAAGCAGGACUUUACAGCUCUUACAAAGCACAGCGGUGAUGUUUAUUUCUUAAAAAUUCAAUUUGUCUUCUUCAUCAGGAACUGCUGACCCAUCUCACCGCCAAAGGAUUAUGCUAGAAGAAGAAUUAGGAAUACCUGAAGUACUGGAGAGAGGCUGCCACGAGGCUGAGUUCCCAUGAGGCAGCUCUAGCAGGGGGAUGUGUUCCUGCACCGCUUCACUGGCCCUGAGCAAAAGUACGUAGGUGCUGAAUAACAGUCAUAAAAAAAAAACUACUAUUCAUACAUUAAAUGCACAGCCAGCACAGCAAGAAUGUAAAGCAGUGGAUAAAAGUGAGUGAACAGAGGGGCUCUGAGACAGCUCUGGAUAUUCCUGCAGCUGUGGCUUGCUGGGCUCCCCCAGAGCUGCUCAGCAUGAAGACACGAAG
This 544-nucleotide long non-coding RNA is filed under the name Gallus gallus (chicken). RNAcentral describes it as "lncRNA (ENSGALG00010004607.1)". Lineage: Eukaryota; Metazoa; Chordata; Aves; Galliformes; Phasianidae. The record is from RNAcentral.